AUAUAUCCUUCAGUGGGGAUUAUACCACUGUAAGCCUUAUACACUAGAGCAAGUUGUCUGCUCUGACAAAUGUGAGUACAACAACUUUUAUUUAUUUUUUCUACAUUUGGAAUCAGAAUUGCUACACUAUUGGAGUUUCUCUUUUCUGUUUCCAUUUUAUCUAUGCCACUACACCAAUGAAGUAUUGAAAAGUUGAACCUUCUAUCCUGAGACGGGGAUUGUACCGUCCGUGCAAGUUAAGGUAGAGCUCCUGAUUAGCUCUACCAAAUGUGAGUUUAAAAUACCUCUGUUUUACACACCAUUUCCGUUUCCCACUUGUUAUAGCAUAUUGCACUAUUAUAUUUCCCUUUUUGUGUUUUUUUUGAGGAUAUAUUACUCAUACCAACUAAGGGACACCAAGUGUAUGUAUGUAAAAUUUAUUUAGAGCGCUGUUUCCUUCCUUUCUUUCAUAUUGUUUCCUUACAAGGCUGGGAAUCUUUGCAUUGGUUAUUGCUGCUUGUCUAUUCUCUCUGUUUCGAAGUGAGCACCCGACACACCUUCCUUUUUUUUUCAUGUACCAGACCCCGGCCAGUCCUAGUUUACACUGUCUCUCUGUGCCCUUGAUUUCGGAUCGUUCCUGACUCUGUCUCCUCUCAUAUACGUCGAGUCCGGCCAUUCUAAGGUCCGGUAGACGUAUCUCUCCUCUGUGUUGUCUUCUGUUUAGCUGAAUCCUGCGUGUUGGGGUAUAUUCUCGUUACAAUGGAUACUUCGGACGGUGCGGGGCUAUCAAAUAGAAUUCGAGACGAGGCCACUCCAACAGGCCCCACCACGCCUGAUUCAGUUUUCACGGGCGGACGCUUCUUUGAUAGACACGAAACUUCAGGACUUACACUCCAAGGGUGCCAUCCAACCAGCUCAGGACUCAACAGGGUCCUGGUCAGGAAGAAAACCUGGGAAUUCCGACCCGUCAUCAACCUCAAGGAGCUCAAUUCCUACGUGGUGUACCGCCACUUCAAAAUGGAGGGUAUCCAUCUUCUCCGGGACCUACUGCGAGACAACGACUGGUUCACGCGUCUAGACCUAAAGGACGCAUACCUCACCAUCCCUGUGCACGAAAGGAGCCGCUCAUAUCUCCGUUUCUACUGGCACGGGACACCUUGGCAAUUCACCUGUCUCCCACUCGGCCUCAGUCCGGCCCCAUGGUGUUUCACCAAAAUGAUGAAGCCGGUAAUGGCGAGACUGAGGGACCAAGGCAUAAGAUGCAUUGUCUACCUCGUUGACAUCUUGAUAUUCGGCGAGGAUGCAAGGACCCUAAAGAGGCACACAGACUACGCCGUACACCUACUCGACUCACUGGACUUCGUUAUCAACGGCCCCAAGUCAUCACUGACUCCCGCUCAGUCGAUCAAAUUCCUUGGGUUCGAGAUAGACUCAACAUCGUGCACUCUGCGCCUUCCGGCCGCAAAAAUUGCCACCAUCCGCAGAGAAAUUCGGAAGGUACUUCGACUGACAUCCAUACCUUUACGACUGCUAGCACAAAUCGUGGGCCUUCUCUCGUCAUCCAUCCAGGCCAUCUUUCCUUGACCCCUGCAUUACAGAGCCAUGCAACACCUCAAGACAAAGUUCCUUCGCAAAGACCCAACAUACGACCAGCCGGUCCCCAUGUCGGACGCGGUUCGGGAGGAACUGCACUGGUGGCUGAACUGCAUGCAGGCCUGGAACGGUCGGGCGAUAUACGGAAACCAACCAGACUUCAUAUUGGAGUCAUACGCCAGACACUCAGGCUGGGGAGCAACAGACGACACCUCCUCCACGGGGGGUGUGGACUCCCCAAGAACUUUCGAUGCACAUCAACUGUCUGGAGCUCCUGGCGGGACUGCUGCAUCCUGCUCCGGAUGGACAAUGUCUUGGCGGUAAGAUACAUCAACCGACUCGGAGGCACCCACUCCCAAGCACUAGUAGAACUCUCGAAGGAAAUCUUCGACUAUUGCCUGCCUCGCAACAUCACGCUGUUAGCGGAACACCUACCAGGAGAAACCAACACGGAUUGGUACUCACGCCACUGGAGGGACGCCAGCGACUGGCAACUAGACUCUCAUGUUUUCACGAUUCUGGAUGCACAAAGGGGCCCCUUCUUCCUGGACUUAUUCGCUUCCCGCAACAACCGUCAGACGAAGGACUUCUUCAGUUGGCUCCCAGAGAGUCUAGCAACAGACGCGUUUCUGCAACAAUGGCCACAACACGGGGCUUACGCUUUCCCUCCAUUCUCAAUGAUUACGAGGGUUCUCCACUGAAUCUGCAUGCAGAGGGUGAUACUGACCCCCAUCACGCCUCUAUGGCAAAGCCAACCAUGGUUCACGGAUCUUCUGGAGCUGUCGAACAGGGAUCCCCUCCUCCUACCAGAUACUCCGUCCAUUCUCAGGAACCCGAUGGGACUACCCCAUCCGCUGGUCAGGGAGGGCCGGCUUCCCCUGGUGGCCUGGACUUUUUCAGGGGUUCCUGGCGAACCGAGGAUUUAUCGCAGGAAACUAGGGAGCUCCUAUGGGACUCAUGGGCGCCAGGAACAAGGAGGUGCUACUUAUCAGCAUGGCACUGCUGGACAACUUGGUGUCUGGGACCGGAUCUCAAUCCCUUUACGGCACCUAUUCCCUCCAUCAUGAAUUUCCUCACCUCUCUGUUCACAACCGGGAAGUCAUACCGGUCAAUCAACGUGAUACGUUCAGCCAUGUUAGCGGCUCAUACGCCGACUCAAGGGACACCAGUGGGCCAGAACCCACUCAUCUGUAGACUCCUCCGUGACAUGCGCCUUCGGCGCCCCCCGGAACCCAAAUACUCGAGACUUUGGGACGUUGGCAUAGUCUUACAGUUUUUACUGGCCCCCUAACGAGAACUCCGCCAGCUUACGGCAAAGUUCACCUUCCUACUCUGCCUAGUCUCCUUUCGUCGGGUGUCCGAUGUACGCGCUUUUGAUGCCGACGCAUUUACCUUUUGCCCAGCGGGAGUAACCUUCCAGGUCUCUAGGCGCACGAAAUCUGACUCUUCCUCUGUUUUUUACCCCUUUUUUCCCUCAGACCCACAGCUCUGUUUGGUCUCUACUCUUCGUCGAUACGUGGAAGCCACCGCGACGUUGCGGCCUACUUCCAAUCGUCAACUUCUCAUCUCUUACGUCCGCCCCUACGCUCCAGUCUCGGUUACUACGUUGGCCAGAUGGGUUAGAUGGCUAUUAGCCCUUGCCGGGAUAGACCAGGCUUUUGGAGCACACUCAGUUCGGGGGGCCGCGGCCUCUUCCGCCUAUGCGGCAGGGGCCUCCCUUCCAGAUAUUUUACGAGCGGCGGACUGGACUAGAGAAUCCACCUUUAGGACGUUCUACUUCCGUUCUCCAUCUAAUCCAGCUUUUGCUCUACUUUCUCAGCGUUGAAAUUGCAAAAUACGAAGCCUCCUGUCAUGUGAUAAAAUUGAAGAUUAUGCUAGCUUCAGUGUACAGAUAAUCUUAAUUUUAAUAAUGACAGGAGGCGAGUAUUUUCCCUCCCUGCUCUCUUUCGCUCUUUCCCCCCCCCCUGUCUUCAUGUAUAUUUCUAUCUCUUUAUUCACAUGUUAUUAUUGUGCUAAAUGCCUAAGUUGUUUUUUCUUACAAUUAAAACAGAUAUACCAUAUGGGUGGGAUGGCUUAGUUAGCAUCAAUAGAUGGGAGGAAUGUAUUCGCUGUAUUGCAAUAUGAUGGUUUACUUAAUCAUAAGGGAUAGACAGCUCAUUGUUUUACACAACCAUAUCCAGAAUCUAAUACCCUUUACAUUCUCGUUUCAGUUUAACCAGAUGAAUCAGGACACUAAAGACUUCCUUCAAGAUGUCAUCAUCGUCUUGUCAUGGAAGAUCGUCACUUGACAUCAAGAACUCUUCCCUGUCAAGAAUUCUUCAUAUGUUUAUGUUCUAUUUUCAUGUUAUACGUUAUCUUUAUUGUUAUUCUGCAUUGUGAUCUUGUGAUGUCGCAUGCUUUAAAGAGGAAAUGAUGUCAUACGUUACACCUCUUAUACUCUAUACUGCAUUGUG
Pelobates cultripes (western spadefoot toad) is the source of this 4025-nucleotide non-coding RNA. NCBI's taxonomy places the organism in Eukaryota, Metazoa, Chordata, Amphibia, Anura, Pelobatidae. The record is from the annotation of a GenBank genome assembly.